GGAGACGUGGCAGAGCGGCCGAAUGCACUGGUCUUGAAAACCAGCGAGGUUAAACCCUCCGCGGGUUCAAAUCCCGCCGUCUCCG
Molecule: transfer RNA, 85 nt
Filed under: Corynebacterium tapiri
Lineage: Bacteria; Bacillati; Actinomycetota; Actinomycetes; Mycobacteriales; Corynebacteriaceae
Rfam family: tRNA
About the family: Transfer RNA (tRNA) molecules are approximately 80 nucleotides in length.
Source: Rfam by way of RNAcentral